GGCCUGGCGCGUCCGCCGAGCGCGGGGGUUUGUUUAUUUUCCCGGUUGGUAGCGGCGCUGGCGCUGGUUAGAGGUUCGCCGGUGACGUGAGCGCCCGAGUUGGGGGAGAGGACCAGAACCACCUGCUGGAGAAAGGGAGCUACGGGGGCCGGGCAGGGUCCAAACGCCUCACGUGGGCGGCGGCGCCACGGUCUUCGGGGUCACAGGGAAGAGAAGGGCUCUCCUCAAGCGGGUGGAAGGAGGGAGGCCUCCCGAGGGAAUGAGACUCCAGGCCACUCCCCCGCAGCAAGGCAGGAUCACCUGCGUCGCGGAGAGCAGUUAGAGGUCCCUGGAGUGGAAAAGGGCAGUGGGACCUGGUAGCUUGGGUUCCCUGCAACUUGGGGUUCGACCUCCAGGCAAUGAAGUAGGGAUGGUCCUGCAAGUCAAGAUUCCAGUAGCAAGAGUGCAUCAGAUCUCUGUAAGGAAAAUAACUAACAUUGCUCAGUUCCCUGUAGAGUUGCAGGGCGCUUUGACGUUAUCUCCCUUGGUUCUCCAUCAGGUCGUAGUGGACUAAUUUUACAGGCGAAGUUAAGUGACUUACCCAAAACCUCACAGCUAAUAAACGGCAGAGCCGGCACCCAGCUGUACUGGCUUCCAGCGCAUCCCAUUAUCUCCAUAAAUCCCCCUGAUUCAACUAAUAUUAGACGCCCCACAGGUAAGAUGCUUCAGAGUUAGAGGGGAGUUGAAGAUACCUUUGCCUUCAAAGAAGUAAGGAAUGAAACAAAGAUAAAACAGACAAUAAAAGACAAACCAUGAUAGGUGCCACGUGAAAAGUGGCAGAGUACUGCCGGGAAUCAAAGAACCGUGUAUAUCUGUCUUGGGGAUAAGGAAAGAAACGCAGCAUGAAGGAGUAGGCAUUUGGGAUUGACCUUGAAGGAGACAGGGAGAGUUUUACAGCAAGAAGGGAUAGCAUGAGAAUAUAUAUGAAGGCGAAUCAGUGAAAGUUGUGUUGGGGAAAGAGCAAAGACUCCAGGUAUGUUGAGAGGUAGAAAAGACAAAGGAGUAUGGGGCCUAAGAUACCAAAUGGAUGAAUUUAUAUUUAAUUCAGUAUUUUGAGUUUUUAUGGUUCAGAAGUUUGGGGGAAGAAAAGGAAGGUUUUUUUUUUCUUUAUGCUAGUGAUUUAUCUGUGAAGGGAAGCAGAAAUCAGAGGUGGAAAAACUGACAGAUCUACUGUAGGCCAGGUAAAAGGUAAUGAUGAGUCUGACCUAAAGGGACAGCCAGGGGAAUUUAAAGAGCAUAGUUGAGAGAUGAUGUGCAUGCAGAAUCUAUAGAAUUUGCUAACUGAUUGAUUAAUUGUGGGUAGGAAGAGAGAAAUCAAAGAAAGUGGAGGUUUUGAGUUUCUAGAUAAUUGCAAGAGAGAAAAGAGACAAUUACAAAGGAAAGGAGAAGGAGCUACUUCUUGAGAGAAGAUCAGUUUAGAUUUAGACAUUUUAAGAAUUCAAAGGGUUGUCAAGACAGCCAGACGGACAUGGACACUAAUAAGUUAGAAAUAAAGGUUUUGUAAUAUGGGAAAGAGGACUGAGCUAGAAAAUAGACUCAUAGAUAAUCAGCCUAGGAGUGAUAUUGCUGUGAGAUAAAAGAAGAAAACAAAGUCAGAAUCUUGGAAAACACCCUCUUCAGAGUCUCGCUGCUCAAAACGUGGUCAGUGGCCCAGCAGCACUGACAUGAGGACCUUAGUUGGAAACUCAGAAUCUCAGGCUCCACCCCAGACCUGCUGAACCAGCAUCUUCAACUUAACAAGAACCCGAAGAGAUUUGUGCCACAUCAAAAAGUUUGAGAAGCUCUGAUCUAGGUGAGCCAAGCCAGCAAAGAAAGGGGGUGGAGCAGAAAAUGGGAGGAGAAUAGGGUAAUGCAGAAUCAUCAAGACAAGGUAAAUUGGACUUUCACAAAAACGGGGCUGGAAGGAGUGUUGCUCAACAAUAUCCAAAACCACAGAGGUUGAAAAGCACAAGGAAAGAAGGUAUGUUUGCACUUUGUGAUUAGGUAGUAGGGUCUUUAAGACCACAUUGUUCUCAUUGAAAGCCUGGGAAGAAAGAUCCCCUUUCUGGUCAAGGUUAGUCUAGGGAUCCAUCCCCUCUUCCCCAGUUCCCACGUAUAUGGGACAUGUCGAGAUAAGUAGAUAGAUUGGACAGUGGGAGAAAGUAGUUCUCUUCCAGUUGCUUCUAUUUUCUCAGCAAAGUGAGGAACAAGAUCAUUUUGGCAGACUGCUAAUUGUCCAUCAUAAUUUAGUCUCCCCUUCUCCCUGAAAACACAGACUGCUUUUCUCAGCCUCUCUUUCAGUUGCAUAUGGUCAAGUAUUAAGUUAUAGAACAUGAGCAGAUGUUAUGUCUGCCACUGUCAGGCCAAGGCGUUUACUUUGAGAGUACUUGUGCCUCUUUCAUACAUUUUCCUUUCUGCCAGCUGGACCCUGGACACGGUGACUCUGAUUCAAUUAUGCAGAUGACCACAAGCCUCUGGGGUUGGCAGAGCCACAAGAAAGAAGGUGCCUGGAUGAAGGAGAGCUACCCACUGACCUGGACACCCAAUUAUGUCAUAGGUGCUGCAAUCUAGAGACAAAAUAUUCCUUACACUGCCAGAUACUUGCAAACUAAGGGGAACGAGCUUCCCUCUGAAUGUUUAUGAAGGAGAGACCACUGUGUCAUCUGUCUUAGAGCUAUUGGAAUCCUGGAUCAUUGUGGGAAAUGAAAAGAACUGGUUUUUAGCAAGGAGACCAAGAAACUCUACUCCCUAGGGGCUAGCAAUGAGAGAAAGGAAGCCUUGAGUCUUUGAGCACAGGGUGACAGUUUGGGUCCUAUGUGAGAUGAUCAAAUCCACAGCAACAGAGGAAAGGACAAAAGGAAAAGAUACUUCGAUGGAAUCAGCAGCCAUUGAUCCAAUGCCAACUCCAAGACUGGAACGUCGCAAUGAUAGUUCCAAGGCGGAAAUUUGACGUAAUUCUUUUCGACACAGUUUUACAGGCAUCUUGCAUGUGAAUAACUCACAACUUUAAUUCAUGGAACAAAUUGAGAAAUAGUCUUUUGGGGGUUUGGUACUCCCUGGAAACAUAAGAGUGCUUUGGGCACCUCUGGUGCCUUUCCAUGCCUGCCUUCUCUGCUGUUCUUGCUACUAGUGAAUUCUAAAUCAUGGCCAAGUGAUGCCAGCACUGGAUAAUAUUGGCUCUGCCCCAUAUCUCGAGGGAAAACUCUGGGACUUGGCAUUAUAUGUGUGGGAAUCUGGCCUUGGUUGGCACUCCCAGCAUGAUAGCAGGGUUCUGCUGUCUGAAUGUACUCUGGGGUGUGCGCCACAAUUUCUGUCAUCGAAAUGGAGAUGAGAGAAUAUGCCCUUGGUGGGGACACCCCACUGGAAUUAGAGUGAAGAGAUCAAAGCUAGAGGUUCUUAAAUCAAAGAAUGUCUAAUAGCAAAGACAAAAACUUGCUUAAGAGAAAUGCAUACAGGUACUAGACCUAAUAUGAUGAAAAAUGCUAACUUCAACAUAUUGAUGCAUGCUUAGUAUACUUUUAGUCCUGCAAAGACAAAA
RNAcentral lists this long non-coding RNA (3556 nucleotides) under Homo sapiens (human). RNAcentral's name for it is "HSALNT0353274". Lineage: Eukaryota; Metazoa; Chordata; Mammalia; Primates; Hominidae. The record is from RNAcentral.